UCUAUGUUCCUUGGAACAGGACGUCACAGAGGGUGAGAAUCCCGUGCGAUGAGAUGACCCGGGUCUGUGUAAAGUUCCUUCGACGAGUCGAGUUGUUUGGGAAUGCAGCUCUAAGUGGGUGGUAAAUUCCAUCUAAAGCUAAAUAUUGGCGAGAGACCGAUAGCGAACAAGUACAGUGAUGGAAAGAUGAAAAGAACUUUGAAAAGAGAGUGAAAAAGUACGUGAAAUUGUUGAAAGGGAAGGGCUUGAGAUCAGACUUGGUAUUUUGCAUGUUGCUCUCUCGGGGGCGGCCGCUGCGGUUUACCGGGCCAGCAUCGGUUUGGAGCGGCAGGAUAAUGGCGGAGGAAUGUGGCACGGCUUCUGCUGUGUGUUAUAGCCUCUGACGAUACUGCCAGCCUAGACCGAGGACUGCGGUUUUUACCUAGGAUGUUGGCAUAAUGAUCUUAAGUCGCCCGUCUUGAAACACGGACCAAGGAGUCUAACGUCUAUGCGAGUGUUUGGGUGUAAAACCCGUACGCGUAAUGAAAGUGAACGAAGGUGGGGGCCCAUUAGGGUGCACCAUCGACCGAUCCUGAUGUGUUCGGAUGGAUUUGAGUAAGAGCAUAGCUGUUGGGACCCGAAAGAUGGUGAACUAUGCCUGAAUAGGGUGAAGCCAGAGGAAACUCUGGUGGAGGCUCGUAGCGGUUCUGACGUGCAAAUCGAUCGUCGAAUU
RNAcentral lists this ribosomal RNA (712 nucleotides) under Candida albicans. RNAcentral describes it as "LSU rRNA". It matches the Rfam family "Eukaryotic large subunit ribosomal RNA", at positions 180 to 911 of the family's 3401-position model. The record is from RNAcentral. Lineage: Eukaryota; Fungi; Ascomycota; Pichiomycetes; Serinales; Debaryomycetaceae.